This is a non-coding RNA of Paramormyrops kingsleyae, 540 nucleotides long. NCBI's taxonomy places the organism in Eukaryota, Metazoa, Chordata, Actinopteri, Osteoglossiformes, Mormyridae. The record is from RefSeq and is a predicted model, not a curated record.
CAGGAAACCAUCCACCAGAUACAUUGUACUUCUGCCGUGCAACCUAUUUGGAAGUUCUGAGUCAACCUUUGGAUAUGCAAGAAAAUGUCGUACUGCAGCUGGAAACCAUGGUGAUAUUUGUCACUGGAAGAGUGGAUCCUUUCCAUCCACCCAAAGACAUUAAGAUUGUCAUCGAUGGAACACAGGUCCUGAAUGAAGUGCCUUCUGUUGCGACAGCUGUUGCCAUGCUCUUUGGGCUCAUAUAUGCACUAAACCUAAAGUAUCCAAAAAAUCUACAGUACACUCUUGAAUUUUUUCAAAAAGUCCUGAUGGAGCUGGGUGGGAAAAAGAUGUCCCCGAAAGUUUAUAGGCUAAGCACCCAGCUUUACAGCUGUUAAAUUCACUUACCUUUUAUUUUUCCAUUGCUGAAAAACUGGAGAGCGAUGGUGUUAGUACUGAAGUGUUUGUUAAUGUUUAUACAUUUUGAAAAAAUUUUUUAUUGUUAACAUUUUGGAUGUUCGCUAUGUUCUUUCCAUAAUAAAUAACGUUUAAAGAAACAAA